Molecule: ribosomal RNA, 843 nt
Filed under: Panagrolaimus sp. AS03
Lineage: Eukaryota; Metazoa; Nematoda; Chromadorea; Rhabditida; Panagrolaimidae
Description: SSU rRNA
Rfam family: Eukaryotic small subunit ribosomal RNA
Source: RNAcentral
UUGAUUUUGACUUUUAUCCUACAUGGAUAACUGUGGUAAUUCUGGAGCUAAUACAUGCAUAAAAGAUGUUUCUUUAUUGAAACAUUGCGUAUAUUAGUAUUAAAACCAAGCAUUCUUCGGAAUGUUUUGUGUUGAAACUGAAUAUAUCUGCUGAUCGUAUGGUCUUGUACCGACGACAUGUCAUUCAAGUGUCUGAUCUAUCAACUUUCUAUAUAAGUAUAUAGUACUUAUAUGGUUUUGACGGAUAACGGGGUAUUAGGGUACGACUCCGGAGGAAGUGCCUGAGAAACGGCGUUUACAUCCAAGGAAGGCAGCAGGCGCGAAAAUUACCCACUCUCAGUACGAGGAGGUAGUGACGAGAAAUGACAAGAUCUAUUCCUUCGGGGAUGGAUCAUUGGAAUGGUUUGAUUUUAAAAUCAUUAAAGAGUAUCAAUGAGAGGGCAAGUCUGGUGCCAGCAGCCGCGGUAAUUCCAGCUCUCAUACUGCAUUGAAUUGUUGUUGCGGUUAAAAAGCUCGUAGUUGGAUCUGUACAUGAUAGGUUAGUUUAUUCUUUACGGAAUAUAACUAAUACUAAAUGUUUUUUGUUAGAUUUUUUUAUGGUUCGUAAGGAUCAUAAAAUGUCUAACGAGUUUACUUUGAAUAAAUCAGAGUGCUCAAAACAGGCGUAAGCUUGUAUGGUUUUGCAUGGAAUAAUAGAACAUGACUAUGGUUCAUGUUUUAUUGGUUUUACUUACCAUAGUAAUGAUUAAAAGGAACAAACGGGGGCAUCCGUAUCGCAGGGCGAGAGGUGAAAUUCGUGGACCCUUGCGAGACGAACUACAGCGAAAGCAUUUGCCAAGAAUG